GAUGAACGCUGGCGGCGUGCCUAAUACAUGCAAGUCGAGCGAACAGACGAGGAGCUUGCUCCUCUGACGUUAGCGGCGGACGGGUGAGUAACACGUGGAUAACCUACCUAUAAGACUGGGAUAACUUCGGGAAACCGGAGCUAAUACCGGAUAAUAUAUUGAACCGCAUGGUUCAAUAGUGAAAGACGGUUUUGCUGUCACUUAUAGAUGGAUCCGCGCCGCAUUAGCUAGUUGGUAAGGUAACGGCUUACCAAGGCAACGAUGCGUAGCCGACCUGAGAGGGUGCUCGGCCACACUGGAACUGUGACACGGUCCAGACUCCUACGGGAGGCAGCAGUAGGGAAUCUUCCGCCAUGGGCGAAAGCCUGACGGAGCAACGCCGCGUGAGUGAUGAAGGUCUUCGGAUCGUAAAACUCUGUUAUUAGGGAAGAACAAAUGUGUAAGUAACUAUGCACGUCUUGACGGUACCUAAUCAGAAAGCCACGGCUAACUACGUG
RNAcentral lists this ribosomal RNA (497 nucleotides) under uncultured bacterium. RNAcentral describes it as "partial 16S ribosomal RNA". It matches the Rfam family "Bacterial small subunit ribosomal RNA", at positions 28 to 507 of the family's 1533-position model. The record is from RNAcentral.